This 364-nucleotide ribosomal RNA is filed under the name uncultured Achromobacter sp. RNAcentral's name for it is "bacterial SSU rRNA". It matches the Rfam family "Bacterial small subunit ribosomal RNA", at positions 1014 to 1382 of the family's 1533-position model. The record is from RNAcentral. Lineage: Bacteria; Pseudomonadati; Pseudomonadota; Betaproteobacteria; Burkholderiales; Alcaligenaceae.
UGCUCGCAAGAGAACCGGAACGACAGGUGCUGCACGGCUGUCGUCAGCUCGUGUCGUGAGAUGUUGGGUUAAGUCCCGCAACGAGCGCAACCCUUGUCAUUAGUUGUUACGAAAGGGCACUCUAAUGAGACUGCCGGUGACAAACCGGAGGAAGGUGGGGAUGACGUCAAGUCCUCAUGGCCCUUAUGGGUAGGGCUUCACACGUCAUACAAUGGUCGGGACAGAGGGUUGCCAACCCGCGAGGGGGAGCUAAUCCCAUAAACCCGAUCGUAGUCCGGAUUGCAGUCUGCAACUCGACUGCAUGAAGUCGGAAUCGCUAGUAAUCGCGGAUCAGCAUGUCGCGGUGAAUACGUUCCCGGGUCUU